GGACCUGGAGGCUUCGGUCUGCUGGGGAAGGAAGUCUGUUUCCUCCCUUGCGCCCCGCUUCUUGACUCAGCGCUGACAUCCUCAGGGUUGUUUCCGACCCUGGCUGGGCCCCCUGUUUUGAGUUGGGGUCCCUGCAGAUCGCUGUGUUUUCGCUGCAAGCGGACUCCCAGAGGAAAUCUCUCGCAGUAGCGACUUUGCGUUUCUCAAUGCAGCAAGGGUCUCCGCCAGGUAUCUUCCUCCAGGCUCUUUAGUCUCCUCGCGGAAAUUUCGUCGUCACCGAGGGGAUGGAAAGGUUCCUGGUCUUCACCACCCCUCUACUUCCGCUCAGUGAUUCCGAGACAGUCGACUCCCAAGGAGUGCGGUCAAAAUUCGCUAGCGCGGGCGCCUCAGGAGGAUGCGCUCAAGUCACCGCUACUGGAGUCCUGGGCAGUUCACCACUGGAAGCCGGCACCUUGGAGGGUCAUCAAUGUUCAAGUGUACAUCAGAGCAUCUAUACUUGUUGAAUCUCUUUAGGCCGUCUAUAAAUCUGGAAUAUCAUGGGAGUGGCAGUGUUUUUGUGUAUCAGUUUUUGGUCGUCACAACAUCUUUAUUUUUAUGUGAUGCUGAGGAUUGAACCCAGCGACCUGCGCAUGCCAGUUUUCCGUAGAACCUCUGCUGCUCCCUGUCGCUGUGCUCCUCCUCUCAGUGUGCCCUAUCAGGAACCAGCAGUUCCUUGGAGGAGUCGCAAAUAUCUGAUGCUCCAAAGUCUUCCCAGACUGGCUUCUCAGGACUUCUUCCUCUAAGGCAUCAUUAAAGGAAACAGAAGUGGCAGUUUGGGUAGAAAAGGAAAGCGGCUUAGGAAACAGGAGGCCUGACUUCCCUCCCUCCUGGCUCAGGGUUCAUCUGGGGGACCUCGGUAAGUGUGUUUCCCUCUCUGAGCCUUAU
Molecule: long non-coding RNA, 924 nt
Organism: Marmota monax (woodchuck)
Lineage: Eukaryota; Metazoa; Chordata; Mammalia; Rodentia; Sciuridae
Exons: 5
Source: RefSeq, a predicted model, not a curated record